AUUGCAUCAUUUUUCUAUUUUGGUCUUUUGUUUUUCCUGUGCUUUGGCAUGUGAUUCUUUUAUCAGGAUGGUUACCUUAAAAUAUUGGGAGGGUAUUUGGAGAAAUCUAACAUGUUGAGGCAACCCUUCACAAGGCAAGAGAACCCUUUCAUCCAAACCUGUCUUCUUGCAUCCUCUGCAUAGCCUUUAGCGGUAACAUAUAGACGCCUACAAAAUUCUAUCAGCAGAUUUUUUGGAAUUUCUGUUUAUACAGGGCCCAUCAAAUUUAUGAGUACCGAGAAUUGUGCACCGAUUUGAUGCGUCAUUCCAUCUUGAGCAGGUCAUGACUUUCACCCCUAAACAUUUACUUAUUUAUGUUAAUAUCAAAUAAAUAAUAUGCUUCAAAUGUUAAUUUGCAGAACGUCAUUGAGGUUCCUUUUGCUUAUCAUAGACAAUGGUCCUCAAAUUAUCCAAGUUAUGUGUUAUUUGACUACGAAGGAGACAAACACUUUAUAAAGCUUCAUAAAUAUGGUAACCGAUUCUUUUUUGGCGAUGGACUGAAGGAACUUAGGAGAACCCAUGGCAUUCACAAAAGUGUUCUGAUGCAUUUUGUUGGAAGGGACAAAAAUACUACUUUCAGUGUGGACAUUGUGGGACCUCUACACCAAAGGGCAGCCACAACCAUAAGGCACCAUGUUUUUACCAUUGAUGUCUCUGAAGAUAUGAUACAACACAAUUAUCAAUUGGUUCUGCCACCAGAGGCUUCAAUUUAUUUAACUGCAUCAAAAAAAUAUAUGAUUGUAGAUCGUGGUAGUGGUAGGCAUCACAAAUGGAUGAUCACCAUGAAUAAUGGCCUAUCAUGUGUUGCUGACGCGUGGAUCCAUUAUUUAGGUGACUGUCAUUUAAAGCCUGGAGAUGAGGUCAUCUUCUUCUACAACAUUGACCAACAUUUAUGGGAGGUCCUCUAUAGGAAGUGUCGCAACCUACCCUUCCGCGGGAGGGCGACGCGGGACUCGCGGGAUGCGUGUUCCACGAAAGGAAUACGCGCGGAGUCGCCACCAACGUUUAUUUGAGGAAAACGUCGGAAAA
Molecule: long non-coding RNA, 1068 nt
Organism: Glycine soja
Lineage: Eukaryota; Viridiplantae; Streptophyta; Magnoliopsida; Fabales; Fabaceae
Exons: 4
Source: RefSeq, a predicted model, not a curated record